AGUUUUCUUCUUCUCCUAUAUGUCUUUCUAACUAAAAUAAAAUAGAAAAGAUUAGUUAUCUCCUCUGUUUCUGUUCCAUCUUCUCUAGCUCUGCUUCUCAAUUUAAAUUGAUGUUUCCUGUGAAAAACAAACAGUGGAGUUUGAAAGGUUCUCACCUUUUCAGCCACACAUACAGCCAUCAGGAAAAGCUUUUCAGAAUCUACUUCAAGGCUUGGGAAUUUGAAAUUCAGAAGCCACCAAUCUCCAAUGGAAAAUGUUUUAGAUUCUCAAACCUUACACGUUUUUGUAGCAACUUGGAAUGUAGGUGGAAAAUCCCCUCACAAUGACCUGAAUCUUGACAAUUUUCUUCAAGUGCAGGAUCCAUCAGACAUUUAUGUUUUAGGUUUUUAGGAAAUAGUACCCUUAAACGCUGGAAAUGUGCUAGUUAUAGAAGACAAUGAACCAGCAGCAAAAUGGCUAGCUCUCAUCAACCAGUCCCUGAAUAAAACUUCCAAAGAUUUGA
Telopea speciosissima is the source of this 502-nucleotide RNA transcript. It is a transcript of the gene named type I inositol polyphosphate 5-phosphatase 5-like, with no coding region annotated. The transcript is spliced from 4 exons. NCBI's taxonomy places the organism in Eukaryota, Viridiplantae, Streptophyta, Magnoliopsida, Proteales, Proteaceae. The record is from RefSeq and is a predicted model, not a curated record.